UCUGGGUUUUGUUCAGGUGGGAGUCCUCUCAUGUUCAGGCUUAUCAGCGAGUGUCAAUAGGAGGCUCGUGGUGUUUUUGUUUUAGGUGGCAGUGAACGUGGGUAGAGAAUCCCUUUCCGUUUUCCCUUACAUCCGCUCCGGAGCACCUCCGUGGUUAUUGGGGGGGCGCCAGUUUCUGGUUGUCUUUUCCACCCCACUGGUUUUGUGCAUAAAACCCCCACCACAUGUGACUGCACGAAGACCAGGGCCAGUUGUUUUUGGAGGAUAGUGGGGUGUGGCUCCUGUCCUUGAACCCAGACUGACAGCAGAGAGAGUAUGGAACCAGCAGAGAGGGGGGGAAACUAUAUCUGGAAGAAGGCCACCGAGACAGAGGAGCUAUCCAUGAAGAACCACUAAGACGGUUCUCAAACAGCUUAAAGUUAAACACAACAAGUCUACUGCGUUCCAUGCCCAGAGCCAGGGAGCUUUGGAAUGUUUUCAUCAAACUUUAAAAUCCUUGCUUCGUGCAUACUGUACAGAACUGUCUUGCAGAUUGGAAGGAGUUGUAAGUACCUCGGCGUACACAUCACAGACUGAAAUGGUCCACCCACACAGACAGUGGUGAAGAAGGCGCAACAGCGUCUCUUCAACCUCAGGAGGCUGAAGAAAUUCAGCUUGUCACCAAAAACACUCAACUUUUACAGAUGCACAAUUGAGAGCAUCCUGUCGGGCUGUAUCACCGCCUGGGACGACAACUGCUCCGCCCACAACCGGAAGGCUCUCCAGGGGGUAGUGAGGUCUGCACAACGCAUCACCAGGGCAAACUACCUGCCCUCCAGGACACCUACAACACCCAAUGUCACAGGAAGUCCAAAAAGAUCAUCAAGGACAACGGCCACCCGAGACACUGCCUGUUCACCCCGCUAUCAUCCAGAAGGAGAGGUCAGUACAGGUGCAUCAAAGCUGGGACCGAGAGACUGAAAAACGGCUUCUAUCUCAAGGCCAUCAGACUGUUAAACAGCUAUCACUAACAUUGAGUGGCUGUUGCCAACAUACUGACUCAAAUCUCUAGCCACUUUAAUAAUUACAAAUUGGAUGUAAUAAAUGUAUCACUAGUCACUUUAAACAUUGCCACUUUAUAUAAUGUUUACAUACCCUACAUUACUUAUCUCAUAUGGUUAUACUGUACUCUACAUCUACUGCAUCUUGCCUAUGCCGUUCGGCCAUCUCUCAUCCAUAUAUUUAUAUGUACAUAUUCUUAUUCAUUCCUUUACACUUGUGUGCAAAAGGUAGUUAUGAAAUUGUUAGAUUACUAGAUAUUACUGCAUGAUCGGAACUAGAAGCACAAGCAUUUCGCUGCACUCGCAUUAACAUCUGCUAACCAUGUGUAUUUGACCAAUAAAAUUUGAUUUGAUUUUGUAAUAAGAUUCUGGCCUGCAAUGGCAAAAAAAUAUAUUCUAAUGUGGCCCUCCAUGGAAAAUAAUUGCCCAGGCCUGUGCUAGAAGGAUGUCAUGUCCUGCCAUUGGAGGAGUGGAUGAGUGAGUUUUCCCCCUCAUAUCAUAUUGUUUUUCGGUGGCUAUACACAGCUAGAGAUGCCGGCGUCAUCUGGUUAGCUUGCAAUAACAUGAACAACUGUUAUACAGUUAGCGUAUGUCUUGCGUUCGCAAAUUCACUCUGGCGAUCUACUCUGAUUUCAGAGCACUCUUCUGA
This is a long non-coding RNA of Oncorhynchus tshawytscha (Chinook salmon), 1689 nucleotides long. Lineage: Eukaryota; Metazoa; Chordata; Actinopteri; Salmoniformes; Salmonidae. The record is from Ensembl.